CCGCUGAACUUAAGCAUAUCAAUAAGCGGAGGAAAAGAAACCAACAGGGAUUGCCCCAGUAACGGCGAGUGAAGCGGCAACAGCUCAAAUUUGAAAUCUGGCUUCGGCCCGAGUUGUAAUUUGUAGAGGAAGAUUUUGGUGAGGCACCUUCUGAGUCCCCUGGAACGGGGCGCCAUAGAGGGUGAGAGCCCCGUAUAGCUGGAUGCCUAGCCUGUGUAAAUCUCCUUCGACGAGUCGAGUAGUUUGGGAAUGCUGCUCUAAAUGGGAGGUAAAUUUCUUCUAAAGCUAAAUAUUGGCCAGAGACCGAUAGCGCACAAGUAGAGUGAUCGAAAGAUGAAAAGCACUUUGAAAAGAGGGUUAAACAGCACGUGAAAUUGUUGAAAGGGAAGCGCUUGUGACCAGACUUGCGCCGGGCGGAUCAUCCGGUGUUCUCACCGGUGCACUCCGCCCGGCUCAGGCCAGCAUCGGUUUUCGUGGGGGGAUAAAGGCCCGGGGAACGUAGCUCCUCCGGGAGUGUUAUAGCCCUGGGCGCAACGCCCUCGCGGGGACCGAGGUUCGCGCUUCUGCAAGGAUGCUGGCGUAAUGGUCAUCAGCGACCCGUCUUGAAACACGGACCAAGGAGUCAAGGUUUUGCGCGAGUGUUUGGGUGUAAAACCCGCACGCGUAAUGAAAGUGAACGUAGGUGAGAGCUUCGGCGCAUCAUCGACCGAUCCUGAUGUAUUCGGAUGGAUUUGAGUAGGAGCGUUAAGCCUUGGACCCGAAAGAUGGUGAACUAUGCUUGGAUAGGGUGAAGCCAGAGGAAACUCUGGUGGAGGCUCGCAGCGGUUCUGACGUGCAAAUCGAUCGUCAAAUCUGAGCAUGGGGGCGAAAGACUAAUCGAACCAUCUAGUAGCUGGUUACCGCCGAAGUUUCCCUCAGGAUAGCAGUGUUGUUCUUCAGUUUUAUGAGGUAAAGCGAAUGAUUAGGGACUCGGGGGCGCUUUUUAGCCUUCAUCCAUUCUCAAACUUUAAAUAUGUAAGAAGCCCUUGUUACUUAAUUGAACGUGGGCAUUCGAAUGUACCAACACUAGUGGGCCAUUUUUGGUAAGCAGAACUGGCG
This 1098-nucleotide ribosomal RNA is filed under the name Podospora appendiculata. RNAcentral describes it as "eukaryotic LSU rRNA". It matches the Rfam family "Eukaryotic large subunit ribosomal RNA", at positions 25 to 1155 of the family's 3401-position model. The record is from RNAcentral. Lineage: Eukaryota; Fungi; Ascomycota; Sordariomycetes; Sordariales; Podosporaceae.